Molecule: ribosomal RNA, 207 nt
Filed under: uncultured bacterium
Lineage: Bacteria
Description: partial 16S ribosomal RNA
Rfam family: Bacterial small subunit ribosomal RNA
Source: RNAcentral
CGCGUAGGCGGCUUGGUCAGUCGGAUGUGAAAGCCCCGGGCUUAACCUGGGAAUUGCAUUCGAUGCUGCUAGGCUAGAGUGUAGUAGAGGGAAGCGGAAUUCCAGGUGUAGCGGUGAAAUGCGUAGAUAUCUGGAGGAACAUCAGUGGCGAAGGCGGCUUCCUGGACUAACACUGACGCUGAGGUGCGAAAGCGUGGGGAGCAAACA